Molecule: small RNA, 70 nt
Filed under: Sphingomonas sp. PP-F2F-A104-K0414
Lineage: Bacteria; Pseudomonadati; Pseudomonadota; Alphaproteobacteria; Sphingomonadales; Sphingomonadaceae
Description: suhB
Rfam family: Makes More Granules Regulator RNA (mmgR)
About the family: SuhB later renamed mmgR (makes more granules regulator) was a putative non-coding RNA found multiple times in the Agrobacterium tumefaciens genome and related alpha-proteobacteria. Other non-coding RNAs uncovered in the same analysis include: speF, ybhL, metA, and serC.
Source: RNAcentral
AGGACAUGCCUUUCAGGCAUCCUCUCCCAAACUACCAGGGUCGCUUUGGCGACCCUUUUUUUUGCGCGAC